Molecule: transfer RNA, 77 nt
Filed under: Pseudomonadota bacterium
Lineage: Bacteria; Pseudomonadati; Pseudomonadota
Description: Proteobacteria bacterium (sponge metagenome) tRNA-Val
Rfam family: tRNA
About the family: Transfer RNA (tRNA) molecules are approximately 80 nucleotides in length.
Source: RNAcentral
GGACGGGUAGCUCAGUCGGCUAGAGCAUCUGGUUUACACCCAGAGGGCCGGGGGUUCGAGUCCCUCCCCGUCCACCA